This 465-nucleotide ribosomal RNA is filed under the name Vreelandella stevensii. RNAcentral's name for it is "partial 16S ribosomal RNA". It matches the Rfam family "Bacterial small subunit ribosomal RNA", at positions 338 to 795 of the family's 1533-position model. The record is from RNAcentral. Lineage: Bacteria; Pseudomonadati; Pseudomonadota; Gammaproteobacteria; Oceanospirillales; Halomonadaceae.
CCUACGGGGUGCUGCAGUGGGGAAUAUUGGACAAUGGGCGAAAGCCUGAUCCAGCCAUGCCGCGUGUGUGAAGAAGGCCUUCGGGUUGUAAAGCACUUUCAGUGGGGAAGAAAGCCUUGGGGCUAAUACCCUCGAGGAAGGACAUCACCCACAGAAGAAGCACCGGCUAACUCCGUGCCAGCAGCCGCGGUAAUACGGAGGGUGCGAGCGUUAAUCGGAAUUACUGGGCGUAAAGCGCGCGUAGGCGGUCUGAUCAGCCGGUUGUGAAAGCCCCGGGCUCAACCUGGGAACGGCAUCCGGAACUGUCAGGCUAGAGUGCAGGAGAGGAAGGUAGAAUUCCCGGUGUAGCGGUGAAAUGCGUAGAGAUCGGGAGGAAUACCAGUGGCGAAGGCGGCCUUCUGGACUGACACUGACGCUGAGGUGCGAAAGCGUGGGUAGCAAACAGGAUUAGAUACCCUUGUAGUC